RNAcentral lists this unclassified non-coding RNA (7853 nucleotides) under Ooceraea biroi (clonal raider ant). RNAcentral's name for it is "autism susceptibility gene 2 protein-like, transcript variant X8". Lineage: Eukaryota; Metazoa; Arthropoda; Insecta; Hymenoptera; Formicidae. The record is from RNAcentral.
GAUAGGGCAAAGCAGCGCCCCGUGUCGUGGCGAGAGCCACGGACGAGAGGAUAUAUACGGUAGUGCGACUUUCCGUUCUGGUCGUGCGUAUGCUCCGUCCGUGGAACCGAGUAAGACAGUACGCCAUAUUCCCACGGUGGUCGGUGGCGUGACAGAGACAACGAUAGGCGGCCGGACGGAUGACAGAAAUGCACGACCGGGUAAACGCGAACGUCAUCGACAGACGCGGCCAGCAUCAGCGGUGGCGAAAUCGCGUGGUUCGCGCGUAAUUUGGGGCGUGUGCCAUUCGCCGUGGAUCGCGGCUCUCGCUUCGUCUGUCCCAACAUUCCUCUCUCUCUCUUCCCCUCCCCCCCUCCUUGAGUGAUACUGUUCUCGGUAGGCCCGUGUACACUAGCAACGUGUAAUGUACUCGUGUACCGUGAAAAUUGCGGAUGAGGGCGACGAUGCGCCAGCGACGGCGCGCAUCACCGUCCCGUGACACGGCGACGUCGUGCGCUGCCUGUGUGUACGCCCGCGUCCGCGGCUGCUGAAACGGUCUGUCGGGAGCCAAAGGCAGAGAGGGACGGAUGGACAGCCAAUCAGUCGGUUAGUCAGCCGGUCGAUCGGUCCGUCAUCUAGCUAGGUAGACGAGAGCAAGGCAGAAACGAGCAGGUAGACAGGUCGGUGCGGCCAUUUUUACACCGCAAGAUGCGGCAACCGUGCGUGCCCGUUCGAUCCGCCAUUCCAAACAAUCGGUGCGCUACGUGCCCUCCUCGCGGGAUGCGUCCGACGGCGGCGAGUCGCGGUGCUGGCACCGCCGUGCUGCGACGACAACGAUAAAGGCGCCGCGGCCGCGCUGCGCCAACCAACCAACCAGCCAGCCAAUCGGUCAGUCAGUCAGUCAGUCGGACGGACGGACGGACGGACGGACGCACGAGGAGACACGCUGCUGUUGCCCGCAGACGUAAGGCGGUGCGCGAGACGUGACGUCGCGAGGACGGGAGGACGACGGCCAGCGGCCGCCGGUAGUAGUAGUGGUGGCAGUAGGUGUGCUGAACGGCGGUGGACGACGACGUCGUCGUCUCGCGGACGAACGACGACGGUGGCGAGGAGGAAACGGUGGAGGCGACGCGGCGGGGCAGGAGGAGACGGCGGAGAAGAAGAGGAGGAAGAAGAGGGAAGAAGAGAAACGUGAUCGCGGUGGCGCGAUAACGCGACGAGGAGGAGAUGAUAACGGCGCGUAGUCCCGCGGCUACGAGGAGGGCGAGAACGGAAAGUGGAAACGGCAGCCCCGCUGCGGUGUGAUCGAGUUGCACCGCUCACAUCAGCCGUGCGUGCUUCUCGUGCGGGAGGCUCUGCGGUUCGCAGUGAUUCAAAACGAGGAUAGGCUAGGCCGUGGUGCGUAAAUCCGCGGGUGCUGGUGCGCCCGUGCGGAUGAUAAUAACCGUUGGUGUGUCGAGCGCAUCUGGUCUCUACUCUCCGGGAGUUGGCACCAGAGAGUAGCUCCUCCGAUUUCUACGUACGCGCUCUCGGUGUGCUAAAGUGUGCUCGCUCAACGCGGCGCGUUCCGUUCUCAGUGUGUGCAUUUGUGUACGUGCUCUCUCUCUCUCUCUCUCUCUCUCUCUCUCGCUCGCUCGCUCGCUCGCUCUUGCCCGCUUGACUCGCGCGCGGUCUCUCCGUCUCCCUCCCUGCCUGUCUGCCUCUUCAUCUCUCUCUCGUAUCUGUCCGCCCUGCGUGCGUGUUUCUCGCGUGCCUCCUCGCCACACGCACCCGGACUACUCUCUCCUCAUCCUCGACCACCGCGCGAUCGAUGUGACAUCGUGCCGUGCCGCGUCGUGAGCAGUGUGCUCGGCUCUUGUGUGCUCGCCUCGCGGUAUCGCGGAUACGCAUCGCACCGCGAGCGACAGGACUCGUUUGACGAGCCGCCGCGCCAAGGGACACCGAGGCUCCCGGCGUUUACGCGCGUACAAGCGAGUACGCGGCGACGGUGCGUGCGUGCAUGCGUUGCCGACGGCAACGUCUCUCUCGUGAGUGCGCGUAUCCCGAGGCAGUUGUGUGGCGCGCUCCUCUCUCUUUCUCUCCUCCCUGCCCUGUCCCUUCUACCUCGUCUCUCCCUACCAUCGUCCUCUCUCCCCGCCAGUGCCCUGCGCCCCUUCGCCCAUCGUCUUCCUUUCUUUCCCUCCGUCCUUUUCCCGGUUCUCUCUCUCGCGCCCUCCCUUUCCCUUCCUCACUUUUCUUUCUCUCGUUCCUCCCUCCUCCGUCCCGCUUCCCAUCGGUCGAGACGACCGUAGAAUGCACGACGAGGCUGCCACAGUCGUCGUCGCUGUCAUCUGUUCCCGCAUUCCCUCCAUCAUUGUCGUGCUCGUCGGCUCCGUCGUCGCUCUCGUCCGUGCCAACGUACGUCUACGUUGACCGGCUUGUUGAAGAGGACAUCGCGCGCCGCGGGUGAUAACGCGCUGCUAGCCUAUCUAGUGGACCUCUUUUAGUGAGUUCAGUGCCGUGGUGAUCGCGCGAACGUCAUGGAGAUCGAAGCGAAGCAGCGUAGCCAGAAGACUCGCCGACGGGAGCGGGCGCAGCGCAUGCUGGCGCAGAGGGAGAGCCUGGCCACCGCGAAGCAGCAGCAACAGCAGCAGCAGCAGCAACAGUCGCAGCAAUCGCGGCAACGGCCGCCGAACGACGAGGAGGACAGUCACAGCGGCGAGGACGAGGACCCCGCCGGCGGCGGCGGCGGUCUCGGCCUCGGACUCGGACUCGGUGCCAAGACCGGUCAUCCGCGGGACGGCCACUCGCGGCCGCCCAGGCCGCCACGACCCUCCAGGCACCGCAAGAAGUCUUCUCUCGCGGCCGCUAACCAGAAGGAGCCACCCUUCGAGGAGGACAUUAUCGAUGGAUUCGCCAUCCUCGCCUUCCGCACGUACGACGACCUCGAGAGUGCAAUAAAAUUAGCUGGUAAAAAUAAUGUCAAGAAACUGCACACGUUGCUGUCAAUAGUGGAGGAGAAGCCAAAAGUGGACACAGGGCAGAAUAACAGGCACAACGAGCAUCACAUCAAAAACAAUUUCAAGCACAACCAUUACACACAUAAUUCCAUACUGACACCCUCGACGCUAAACCAGGGCCUAGAUGCAGGUACAAGUGACGAUAGUGGUAGAGCGUCUGAACAAUUACACGGCCCUGGUAUACCUAGGGAUUGCCAGGACGCAGACAGUUCCAGGGACCAUCUCAGCGAUGCUAGCAGUCAUUGCAGUUCGGGUAAAGGUUAUAUCUGUGAUAGUGAAGGAGAAGACGAUAAGGGCUCGGAUGCCGAAUCGAUACUCUUUGAAUCUUCUACCCCACCACCUCUUACACGUAAAUACGAGUUGCCGUCUUCUUCGCCACACGUUUUGCCACCCGCAAACGGAGCAGGCGGAUCUCCACCGGACACGGGUGGGCAAAUUUCUAAUCCAGCAACGGAUGCUCCGGCACCUAUACCGCCUCCUGUGUCUGCAUCUGCACCAACAGCGCCGAGUCCUCCCAGCCCCACGUUGCCCCCACACAUAUCCCAGCCUCCUAUGACUAGUCCUCUGGCAGCGAAUCCACGUGCAAUAGCUCCGCAACAGCGGCCAGCUUCCCCCGCUCUGCCACCACCCUCCCUUUCCCAGCAGCCGCACACCACAAUACCUGCAUUGCAUCCACCUAACGUACCCCUCGUCUCGUCGAGCCACACAACUAGUCCAGCGGUAGCCAGCUUGGGUGUCACCCCGGCGGCACCAUCGAACGGAGCGGCUACCACGAGCUAUCCGCCACCCAUUCCCAUCGCCGCGUAUCCACAGACACAGCCGUCGUAUCCGCCGCUUUACACCCCGUACACCGCUUUAAAUCACAGCCCGUACCUCCCGCCUGCAGUACCAUCUCCUUCUCACUCGGCUUCAUCGCGCGCGGACGUGAGAGGGAGUAGAGCUUCCCCUUGCACCAAUAUAAACAAACAGACGAUAAGCAGUAAUCUUACAAGUCACAACACUAAUACCCCGCUGAGCGCCGCUACCACGACAUGCGUGUCCACCAUAACUAAUACAGUUACCACGGCGAAUUCUAUCGCUCAUAGAGACAUGGUGGCCUGCAGUCUGUCUGGACGAAACAAUAACUCACCGCGUGGACACAGCCCUAGUCGAGAAAGGGAUAGUUACAGCAGCAACGUGAGUAGUCUAAGCCGAGGCAGCAUAACGCCCGUUAGUGUGCCAAACACCUCCUCUCCAGCCAAUUCUAGUCUACCUGUGUAUACCAAGCCACAAGGUUGGAUCAGCAACACAGCUUCCCAGUUAUCUCCGGCGACAGCUACGUCCGUACCGAGGCCGACUCCACCACCGGUACCGCUCGGUAUACACACGUUCCCACCACCGAUGUUCGCGGCGCCGUUACCACCGCCCGUAUCCAGCUCGAGCCCGCACACUUCAUUGCCUUCGUUGCCUCCACCAACGACCAAUCCCAAUCCGUUUUCAGCGGAGUCUCUGUUCCAAACAAAAGGGGUGACGCAUGUUGCAGGUCAGGCAGAUCUCCUGAGAAGAGAGCUCGAUAGUAGGUUCUUAGCGUCUCAAGACAGAAAUGUUGGGGUUGGAGUGGGUCCACCGGCGUAUCUUCGUACGGAAAUGCAUCAUCACCAACAUCAGCACACGCAUGUACAUCAGCAUACGACGCCGUUAUUGCCACCUGCCGCGGCGACAACGCUCUUUCCACCUCCAAUUUUUAAGGACAUCCCGAAAUUGGGUGGUGUCGAAUCGCCAUUUUUUCGUGGAAACUUAAAUCUUUCUGGUUAUUCCGGCUUUAACACUGGUCUUCUUCAUCCCGGAAUUGGUCCGCCUUCGACACCCUUUGUGCCACCUAAUCAUCUACCUUCGUUUGCGCCAAAGAAAAGUGGAAAAUGGAAUGCGAUGCAUGUGCGCAUUGCGUGGGAAAUAUAUCAUCAUCAGCAGAAGCAGCAGGCUGAAGCUAAAGCGGGAAGUGUCGUCAGUACCAAAACUGAGUUACUAAGACCACCAGGCCAUCUUUAUCCAGGGGGACCAGGCAGUGGUCUUGGACUUGGUGCACCAUCAAUGGCACCUCCGUUUCCCACUAAUAUGCCACCUGCCCAUCCUGCACCACCUCCACCUCAUCCUGUCGGUUUUCUAUCUACACCAGCUUCACAUUUAGGUAAUAGAGGAACUGGCAUGUCUCCUUUCGGAAGGUAUCCUUCAACAUUCGGCGCGCCGAAUCCCAAUUUUCCGGGUCUUUCAACUUUUCCGCCAAGAGAGAUGCCACCUCUUGGCGGCCUCGGAUCAGUGCAUGAUCCGUGGCGAGGGUUGCAACGCGCCACCACUGGAUUUCCACCGACCACUGUUUCAUGGGGUUUGAAACCGGAACCUCCCGCGAUAGACAGACGUGCUGAAUUGGAGGAACGGGAGCGCGAGCGUGAACGUGAAAGAGAACGCGAACAGGCACGCGAACGCGAACGUGAACGCGAGCGCGUCAGACGCGAAAAGGAGAGGGAGAGGGAGGAGCAACGUGAGAGAGAAAGGCGAGAGCGCGAGAAGGAAGAGAAAAGGAAACAGCAGGAGGCGGCCGAACGAGAGCGAGAAAGACGGGACAAGGAGCGUCGCGAGAUGGAGAGACGCGAAAUGGAGCGCGAGAGGAUGCUUCAUCAGAAUCGACAGCACGUGGUUGUUCCCCGGGAUCGCUCGCCGCUCAGGAAUGGUUCGGCGCCUUUGGACAUCGGCGAGGUGCGCGUGAAGGAGGAACCGCGCAGCAAGGACGACGAGGUUGUAAUGCUUCCGCGGCCGCCAGUACCUGGUCCUGGAACAACUGGCUCUGCAGCAGGACCCGGAGCGAAUCCACUGCCUGAUCCGAGAUACCACCAUCCGCAUCCGCACACCUAUCUUACGAGGCAUCCGCAUGGUAUGCCAGCUUCGCAUUCCAUGCCGCGCAGCAUGCUUCCCAGUUUGAGCGCACACCCGAUGCAGCAUUUCCCACCGCCAUCCGCACCCGCCGGCCAACCGGGAGCACCCUGGUCGAGUGAUCCCUUCCGGGAUUAUCGGUACGACCCGUUGCAGCAGUUGCGAUAUAACCCGCUGAUGGCGGCUGCGGCGUUCCGAGCGGAGGAAGAGGAACGGGCGAAACUGUACGCCGGUUACCCUCCUCCACCGGUAAACAGCCUCAGGAGUAAGGAUCCUAGUCCAGGCCCGCUCAGCAACUUGCAUAUGCAUCAUAGAGCAGGACCUGGACCGGGAGUAUCCGCACGUCCGCUCGAGAAUGCCCUUAUGCAUGCGGAUAUUCACAAGAAGGAAGAUGGGUCGCAGUCCCGAUGAUACAUCGUCCCCGCGUCCUCGGUUUCUGCGAGCGAACGCAAUGAUAAACCGACGUUCUGAGUAGCCAAUAAUACUCGGAAUACGGUGCUGAUAUUUUGCUAACAAAGAAGAAGCGAUAUUUAAAGAAAGAAAUUAUCGAAAAAUGAAGAAUAUGAGAAAACGCAUAGGACUCCUACAAGAGAACGUAACGAAGAUGCCUUGAUAUUGACGUCGGUUUCUACUGAUAUUGACGGCUGCUAACGAUGAUUUCACGAGAUAACUACGGAGGCAUCGCUGAUGUGUCACAAAUGAUAACGCUGACAUUAUGUGAUUUCUGCAGUUUCGGUGAUCUGACUGUCUUUAGUAGUAACAAACCCUAACUAUUACGACGAUAACUAUGCGUACAGUUUAAAAAGUAUCGUGUGUAAUAUUAAUAGUUAUAGAAUGCGAGGCGAUGGCUACGUAACAAGGAAAAAAAAAACGAAUCCAAGUUAGGAGAAAGCGUUCAGCGGAUCUCUAUUAUUAUUCAAAAAUUAUUUAAUUAUUUAUUUAUUGCGACGUGUAAACGAAAAUGAAUCUCUACAUACUGGCGUAUGUGAAUGCGGACGAAAUAUUUGCCCUAAUUUAAUUGAUGUAAUAUAAAAAAAGAAGAUGUGUAAAUUUUACUUCUUAGAUUUUUAUUUGUGUGUAUAUUUUAGAGACGAUAGAACAAAAAGAGAGGGCAUACGAAAACAGUGUUCUUUGGCUUUCGGCAGCACGUGCUUCUUUCAUUUGCAUACUGGCUACGGUAAUACUCUGGUGCUUUCCUGUGAUAUACAAAAAAAAAAAGAAAAAAAGGUUCAGAAGUAAUAAAUUAUUAAUUUCACAUCGUAAUUCGCGACAACCAGAGUUGACAGAUGCAAAUAAAGAAAUCAAACUAUUCCCGAGGAAAUUAUAUCGAUCAGAUAUUUCGUUUCGGAAGGUACAGAAUGACGUUUAAUGUAAUGGCAGUUUGUCCGUGCCAAAGUGCUUCAAUCAAAGAAUAUUCAAAGCCUCUUUACGCGUUUACAAAAUACCGAAAAUUUUUAUUCUUCUCUUUUAAUUACGCUGUUGAUUUUUAUGAUAUUUUUAUGCUUCGUUCUUUUAUCCUUCAAUUUUUAACUCGGGUUAGAUUAAAUUAUUAUUCAAGUCGAAUUAUUAUCUCGCUUUUUCUUUCGAGCCAUGUACGUCGUGUUACCAGAGAGCCAAUUUGAGAUCUCUUAAAAGUUCUGUGCCAUGGACCAGGAUAAAUUCGAAUAUUCCUGGUGCCUCAAAUCGGAAAAAAAAAAUAUGGACUUCUCUAAAUAAUCGGAAUAAUUCUCAGACUCUGUUUCGUUUAUACUGUAAAACCAUAAAACUGUAUAUUAUAUCAUACAAUUAACGACUAUACACGCAGUUUAAAAAUUGUAGAUAUUUUUCAUCGAUGCAAAGUUACAAUGUGAUGCAAUGAUUUUUUUGUUCAUGUAGAUAUCGCGGAACAUAAAAGAGGAUUUUGUGUGAAUAGGUUUUUUCUAAAAUUGAUUCUUUGUAAAAGGAUCUAAUAAUCAUAGUUUCUAUCAA